RNAcentral lists this long non-coding RNA (209 nucleotides) under Elaeis guineensis (African oil palm). RNAcentral describes it as "long non-coding RNA (EGUI_LNC039020)". Lineage: Eukaryota; Viridiplantae; Streptophyta; Magnoliopsida; Arecales; Arecaceae. The record is from RNAcentral.
CGGUGUAGUGAUACUAGAGCGAGAGUGUAGGUGGUUGCUAGAGAACAACUAGCACUGAGCAUGACCAACACGAGAAGUCACAUGGAUGUCUGCUGAUCCGUUAGUGACUUUUUCGAUACUGCAGUUGUAUGACUGAUUUUUUGACCUAUGGUACUACAGCUGCUCGUAGUGAGGCUGCUGGAGUUUGACUACACAUAAACAUGGAUCUC